ACGGGGGGGGCAAGCGUUGUUCGGAUUUAUUGGGCGUAAAGGGUGCGUAGGCGGUUUGGCAAGUCUUGUGUGAAAUCUUCGGGCUCAACCCGAAGCCUGCACAAGAAACUGCCGGGCUUGAGUAUGGGAGAGGUGAGUGGAAUUUCCGGUGUAGCGGUGAAAUGCGUAGAUAUCGGAAGGAACACCAGUGGCGAAAGCGGCUUCCUGGUCCAGCACCGACGCUCAGGCACGAAAGCGUGGGGAGCGAUCGGGA
RNAcentral lists this ribosomal RNA (253 nucleotides) under uncultured prokaryote. Its description in RNAcentral is "partial 16S ribosomal RNA". It matches the Rfam family "Bacterial small subunit ribosomal RNA", at positions 525 to 777 of the family's 1533-position model. The record is from RNAcentral.